Molecule: non-coding RNA, 273 nt
Organism: Vicia faba (fava bean)
Lineage: Eukaryota; Viridiplantae; Streptophyta; Magnoliopsida; Fabales; Fabaceae
Source: the annotation of a GenBank genome assembly
AUGAAUAUGUUUACUCAACGUAUGCGGAGUGGACAACCUAUAAAAAUUGCUUGUUUUUUUGCUCUAACUCUUGAAUUUGUAAUUGUCACUCUGUUUGUGACCACCAAGUAUACUUUCUUCCUCCGUUUUUGUUGCUGGCUACAAUGUAUACAGGACAUGUUUCUUUUCUUUUAUUUGUUGUGUAUCAAUAUUCAAGAAAUAACUAGACUCAUACUUGUCUUUGGUGAUUAUCAUUUUGAACAAGUAAAUAACAUGACACCUACAAAAACAUGA